Long non-coding RNA from Pantherophis guttatus, 736 nucleotides. RefSeq lists it as uncharacterized. The record is from RefSeq and is a predicted model, not a curated record. Lineage: Eukaryota; Metazoa; Chordata; Lepidosauria; Squamata; Colubridae.
CUGUUGAUUCAUUUACAGUCGCAGUGAUUCUCUUAACAGCUAUGGCAAUGGGAUGGAUCUCAGUUAACAACCCUCUUGCUUAGUAACAAAACGUCUGGUCCAGUGGGAAUUCAAAUGGUUUGAAAUAAUGAGCAUCUACUCCAUACUACCACUGAUGAUGCCACCUACUUUGGUAAUGAACAGUGUGCAAGACAACAACUAAGCUUAUAGAGUACCAAGGACCACACAGUUCAUCCCUGAGUUACGAGUAUUCUCUUCUCUCAGCAUCUACAUUUAAUACAUACAAACCACAUUUCUGCUUCUUAUGGAUGUUCCAUGUAGCCACCUCCCUAUUAGGAUAUAAUGGAUAUGUAAACAGCCACCUACAAUUCAAAAGCUGAGGCAUUUAAAUGAAUGUUAAGGCGACACUUGGUGUCACAGUUCUCUCAUACAGUUUUUAUGAGUGAUGUUUCCCUGCCUCCUUUUACAAGCAAGAUGCCUAUACAUAAUACAAAUUCAUUAAAAGUAGGAUCUUAUGCUACUGCUGUCCUCUUGUGGCUUAAAAGAAGAGUCUUUAAAGAAAAGAAAAACUAUAGAUUAUUUUCAGACAACAAGCAAAAUAAAUCAAAAUCAAUUCACUCCUAUAACCACUCCAUUUUAACUGCAAAGUAGGCCUUUCCAUGGCAAAUAAAAUAAAAUCUUUCUUGUAAAUUCCCUUGGGUUAAUAAAAGAGGAUACCUGCCUUAUAUUUAAACCA